AUACGUAGGUGGCGAGCGUUGUCCGGAUUUACUGGGCGUAAAGGGUGCGUAGGUGGUUUCUUAAGUCAGAGGUGAAAGGCUACGGCUCAACCGUAGUAAGCUCUUGAAACUGGGAAACUUGAGUGCAGGAGAGGAAAGUGGAAUUCCUAGUGUAGCGGUGAAAUGCGUAGAUAUUAGGAGGAACACCAGUUGCGAAGGCGGCUCUCUGGACUGUAACUGACACUGAGGCACGAAAGCGUGGGGAGC
This 246-nucleotide ribosomal RNA is filed under the name uncultured bacterium. Its description in RNAcentral is "partial 16S ribosomal RNA". It matches the Rfam family "Bacterial small subunit ribosomal RNA", at positions 523 to 769 of the family's 1533-position model. The record is from RNAcentral.